AUUGAAUAGAAAUUAAUCAUCUAUAUAAUCCUAAUAAUAAGGUUUAGGAGUAUCUACCUAGAAACCAUAAAUUUCUAGACUAUAGGUAAGUCUAAUUUUUGC
RNAcentral lists this non-coding RNA (102 nucleotides) under Clostridium acetireducens. RNAcentral describes it as "Guanine sequence". It matches the Rfam family "Purine riboswitch aptamer". Rfam says of the family: Riboswitches are metabolite binding domains within certain messenger RNAs that serve as precision sensors for their corresponding targets. Allosteric rearrangement of mRNA structure is mediated by ligand binding, and this results in modulation of gene expression. A class of riboswitches that selectively recognises guanine and becomes saturated at concentrations as low as 5 nM. The record is from RNAcentral. Lineage: Bacteria; Bacillati; Bacillota; Clostridia; Eubacteriales; Clostridiaceae. RNAcentral also lists the same sequence under 1 other name.